GGGGACGUAGCCCAAUGGUAAGGCGUUAGAUUCCAGCACGUGAUCUGGCUGCUUCCUAAAGAUUGGCGGUUCGAUUCCGUCCGUCCUCA
Molecule: transfer RNA, 89 nt
Filed under: Niveomyces insectorum RCEF 264
Lineage: Eukaryota; Fungi; Ascomycota; Sordariomycetes; Hypocreales; Cordycipitaceae
Description: Sporothrix insectorum RCEF 264 tRNA
Rfam family: tRNA
About the family: Transfer RNA (tRNA) molecules are approximately 80 nucleotides in length. Their secondary structure includes four short double-helical elements and three loops (D, anti-codon, and T loops). Further hydrogen bonds mediate the characteristic L-shaped molecular structure. tRNAs have two regions of fundamental functional importance: the anti-codon, which is responsible for specific mRNA codon recognition, and the 3' end, to which the tRNAs corresponding amino acid is attached (by aminoacyl-tRNA synthetases). tRNAs cope with the degeneracy of the genetic code in two manners: having more than one tRNA (with a specific anti-codon) for a particular amino acid; and 'wobble' base-pairing, i.e. permitting non-standard base-pairing at the 3rd anti-codon position.
Source: Rfam by way of RNAcentral